GAUGAACGCUGGCGGCGUGCCUAAUACAUGCAAGUAGAACGCUGAAGCUUGGUGCUUGCACCGAGCGGAUGAGUUGCGAACGGGUGAGUAACGCGUAGGUAACCUGCCUCUUAGCGGGGGAUAACUAUUGGAAACGAUAGCUAAUACCGCACAAAAGACGAUAUCGCAUGAUAUUGAUUUGAAAGGUGCAAUUGCAUCACUAAGAGAUGGACCUGCGUUGUAUUAGCUAGUUGGUGAGGUAACGGCUCACCAAGGCGACGAUACAUAGCCGACCUGAGAGGGUGAUCGGCCACACUGGGACUGAGACACGGCCCGGACUCCUACGGGAGGCAGCAGUAGGGAAUCUUCGGCAAUGGGGGCAACCCUGACCGAGCAACGCCGCGUGAGUGAAGAAGGUUUUCGGAUCGUAAAGCUCUGUUGUAAGAGAAGAACGAGUGUGAGAGUGGAAAGUUCACACUGUGACGGUAACUUACCAGAAAGGGACGGCUAACUACGUGCCAGCAGCCGCGGUAAUACGUAGGUCCCGAGCGUUAUCCGGAUUUAUUGGGCGUAAAGCGAGCGCAGGCGGUUAGAUAAGUCUGAAGUUAAAGGCUGUGGCUUAACCAUAGUACGCUUUGGAAACUGUUUAACUUGAGUGCAGAAGGGGAGAGUGGAAUUCCAUGUGUAGCGGUGAAAUGCGUAGAUAUAUGGAGGAACACCGGUGGCGAAAGCGGCUCUCUGGUCUGUAACUGACGCUGAGGCUCGAAAGCGUGGGGAGCAAACAGG
This 765-nucleotide ribosomal RNA is filed under the name uncultured Streptococcus sp. Its description in RNAcentral is "bacterial SSU rRNA". It matches the Rfam family "Bacterial small subunit ribosomal RNA", at positions 28 to 776 of the family's 1533-position model. The record is from RNAcentral. Lineage: Bacteria; Bacillati; Bacillota; Bacilli; Lactobacillales; Streptococcaceae.